UAAAGAGAGAGAGAGAGACAAAACAUGGAGAAAAAUGCAUGCCAGCUCUUUGCCAACUCUUAAACACUCACACAUCUCUUCUGGCUACACUCCAUUAGCCAGAACUAGCCCCACAAUACUGAUUAAUUCUUCCACGUGAAUAAGAAAGGGAAGAUAUUUGGAAAUAUUGGUGAGCACUAGUAAUGUCUAUCAAACUCCUCCCUUCAGCCCAGACAGGCUGCCAUGCUGCUGCCAUGCUGGGGAUUUAGUGCACACAUCACUCGUGCUCUUCUUGCCGCCACAAGAAAAAUUACAAAUUGAUCCACAGGACCUGACUCUCUGCCCAUACUUCUCCUGGGCCGCUGCUGCUUCUCUCUUUCAGAACUGAGGGCUAGUGUGCCCAUCACAGCGUUCAGAACCCAGGCUCCUUCUAUCUUGCUGCUCUGCCUGUAUGGCCUCCACUUCCAAAGUCACUUUCUACUCCAAGAUGACUACUGUUCCAGCUCCAGUCACUCCACCUGAAUUCCAGCCAGAAGGAAGGAAGCAGGAAGCAGGGGGAAGAUGAGACCCUGAUCCUUCCCUUUAAGACACUUCCUAGAAGCUGCAUGAAUUUGCAUUCCAUUGGCCUGACCUUGGCCAUGUGACCACAAACACAAGGGAUCCUGGGAAAUGUAGUCUUGAAUCCAGGCACCACGUGUUCAGCUGACAUUGGGGAGCUUUAUUGCUUAAGAAAGAGAGAAAAUGGCUGAGGAACCACCAGCAGUACCAGGCACCUCCUUCAUUUGACCACUCUGUGAGCUAGUACUCUUACUAAAUAAAUGCCCUUUAUAGACGGGGGAACCAGCAGACAAAAUGUUUGCAUGAAAUUCCCUGAUCCAAAACAUUCUUAUCUUUCAAGUUCCUUACUAAACAUUAAU
This is a long non-coding RNA of Lontra canadensis (Northern American river otter), 896 nucleotides long. RefSeq lists it as uncharacterized. The transcript is spliced from 3 exons. NCBI's taxonomy places the organism in Eukaryota, Metazoa, Chordata, Mammalia, Carnivora, Mustelidae. The record is from RefSeq and is a predicted model, not a curated record.